RNAcentral lists this ribosomal RNA (416 nucleotides) under Galaxea horrescens. Its description in RNAcentral is "partial large subunit ribosomal RNA". It matches the Rfam family "Bacterial large subunit ribosomal RNA", at positions 1991 to 2462 of the family's 2925-position model. Lineage: Eukaryota; Metazoa; Cnidaria; Anthozoa; Scleractinia; Euphylliidae. The record is from RNAcentral.
UAUGAAUGGUGUCACGAAGGUCUCACUGUCUUAAGGAAAUUUCCAGUGAAAUUGAAUUUGUAGUGAAGAUGCUACAUCCAAAUUGUUAGACAAGAAGACCCCAUGAAACUUUACUGGAAACUUAUGUGGCUGACUUAAAUAGUUUAAAAAUGUGGUGGGGGUCAACUAAGGCUAGAAAAGCGCACUUUUUUAUUUGAAGAAAGGCAACUCACGAACUUAUGUUUUUGGGGUUUGAUAAGUGGGACAGUUUGGUUGGGGCGACCGCCUUUAAAAAAGUAACGAAGGCGGGCUUAAGAUACAUAUUUAAUUGUGUCUGACUGCCAGGGGGAGACCCAGAGCAGACACUUAUCUUUGGACGGUGGGUUUAAGUGACCCGUUAAUUUAGGGUGAAAUAGUUAACGAUAAACAGAUAAAAG